Molecule: ribosomal RNA, 372 nt
Filed under: uncultured organism
Description: bacterial SSU rRNA
Rfam family: Bacterial small subunit ribosomal RNA
Source: RNAcentral
CGUAGGGUGCGAGCGUUAAUCGGAAUUACUGGGCGUAAAGCGUGCGCAGGCGGUUUUGUAAGACAGGCGUGAAAUCCCCGGGCUCAACCUGGGAACUGCGCUUGUGACUGCAAGGCUAGAGUACGGCAGAGGGGGGUGGAAUUCCACGUGUAGCAGUGAAAUGCGUAGAGAUGUGGAGGAACACCAAUGGCGAAGGCAGCCCCCUGGGUCGAUACUGACGCUCAUGCACGAAAGCGUGGGUAGCAAACAGGAUUAGAUACCCUGGUAGUCCACGCCCUAAACGAUGUCAACUAGGUGUUGGGUGGGUAAAACCAUUUAGUACCGGAGCUAACGCGUGAAGUUGACCGCCUGGGGAGUACGGCCGUAAGGUUA